AACGUGUUUUUCAAAUUGCAUGUUAAAUGCUUCAGCAGACGUCUGCACUGAAAUCUGUGGGGCUAAACAUAUUGUUCGUAUCCCAGGUGCCUAGUGAUGUGCUGGCCGGCCCAAUACCCGUGCAUCGGGCAGGUUCGGGCGACCUCGCACCCCCAUUUGCGGGUGGCAGGCUGAGCUCUUCUUCCUGCUCUCCCCGCCUGCCACCAACUUCCGGCUUCCCUUUUUAUAGACGCGCACCUGCUUGCCCCACCCCUUUUGUGACAUCAUCAACAGGGUGGGGAACCCAAAAGUAGGGCACAGGCUGAGGGAAGGCGUGUUAGUCUGGUACUCCCUGGUGUUUCCAAUCUCUAACCACUAGAGGCCUCCCUUUUGCAAGGACCAGGGGGUGGGGUUGGUAGGGUCGUCAGCAAAUUUGGAUGCGCCAAUUCGGGUCAGCCAGUGUCCAAUUCUGGGCGAGCCUUGUUUUGAUGCACUGGGCUCGGAGGCCAGGUGUCCUAUCUGUAACCACUAGAGGGCUCCCUGGAGUUUCCUAUCUGUAUCCACUAGAGGGCUCCCUGGUGUUUCUUAUCUGUAACCACUAGAGGGCUCCCUGGUGUUUCUUAUCUGUAACCACUAGAGGUCUCCCUGGUGUUUCCUAUCUGUAACCACUAGAGGGCUCCCUGGUGUUUCCUAUCUGUAACCACUAGAGGGCUCCCUGGUGUUUCCUAUCUGUAACCACUAGAGGUCUCCCUGGUGUUUCUUAUCUGUAACCACUAGAGGUCUCCCUGGUGUUUCCUAUCUGUAACCACUAGAGGGCUCCCUGGUGUUUCCUAUCUGUAACCACUAGAGGGCUCCCUGGUGUUUCCUAUCUGUAACCACUAGAGGGCUCCCUGGUGUUUCCUAUCUGUAACCACUAGAGGC
Molecule: long non-coding RNA, 900 nt
Organism: Xenopus laevis (African clawed frog)
Lineage: Eukaryota; Metazoa; Chordata; Amphibia; Anura; Pipidae
Exons: 3
Source: RefSeq, a predicted model, not a curated record